Molecule: ribosomal RNA, 694 nt
Filed under: uncultured bacterium
Lineage: Bacteria
Description: bacterial SSU rRNA
Rfam family: Bacterial small subunit ribosomal RNA
Source: RNAcentral
AACGCUAGCUACAGGCUUAACACAUGCAAGUCGAGGGGCAGCAUGAUUGAAGCUUGCUUCAAUUGAUGGCGACCGGCGCACGGGUGAGUAACGCGUAUCCAACCUUCCGUACACUCAGGAAUAGCCUUUCGAAAGAAAGAUUAAUACCUGAUGGUAUGAUGAGAUUGCAUGGUAACAUCAUUAAAGAUUUAUCGGUGUACGAUGGGGAUGCGUUCCAUUAGAUAGUAGGCGGGGUAACGGCCCACCUAGUCGACGAUGGAUAGGGGUUCUGAGAGGAAGGUCCCCCACAUUGGAACUGAGACACGGUCCAAACUCCUACGGGAGGCAGCAGUGAGGAAUAUUGGUCAAUGGGCGCGAGCCUGAACCAGCCAAGUAGCGUGAAGGAUGAAGGUCCUACGGAUUGUAAACUUCUUUUAUAAGGGAAUAAAGUCACCUACGUGUAGGUGUUUGUAUGUACCUUAUGAAUAAGCAUCGGCUAACUCCGUGCCAGCAGCCGCGGUAAUACGGAGGACGCGAGCGUUAUCCGGAUUUAUUGGGUUUAAAGGGAGCGUAGACGGGUCGUUAAGUCAGCUGUGAAAGUUUGAGGCUCAACCUUAAAAUUGCAGUUGAUACUGGCGUCCUUGAGUACGGUUGAGGCAGGCGGAAUUCGUGGUGUAGCGGUGAAAUGCAUAGAUAUCACGAAGAACUCCGAUUG